AAAGACUACUCGUAGCCAGCUUCGCGGAAUUUAGUCCACCUCGGUGACUGAGCAGUGGCGUAGCAAAGACUUUGCCCGAGCAUUCUACCCUCUGGCCCUCUGGCCCUGCAGUCUUUGGACUCAUGGCGCUCAGCUGGCAGUGUCCCUGUGGCGUCUUCGCUGACUCUAAAGAAGACUGCACAGAAAAGUUUCACGCAGAAGUAGCAGCAGGCGCCACACGGGGUGACAAGUACCCGGCGUUGCGGCGCGGAGGGGUCCACUGUCACUUCUGACCAGUCGGGCGCAAAUGGCCACAAGCAGCCUCUUUUCCACUUGGCAAGCUGGUACACCUGUUAAACAAAUAAAAAUAAAUAAACAAAAAAAUAAAUACCAAAAUUAUUGCAAAAAUGUGAGUAAUUGUCACUCAUACAUUAUCUACUUUAUUGCAUUGUUAAACUAUAUUCCAUUUGCCAUGUUAAACUAUCUACUUAAGAGCAAAUGCUCACUUACUCUCUAUUUCCAUGUUAAAUCAUCUACAUUGUCAUGUUAAAUUACCUACAUUGCCAUGUUAAACUACCUACAUUGCCAUGUUAAAAUUAUCUACAUCAGUGCAAUUGCACAACUCAAUUUACAUGUUAAUUCCAUUUAAAAUUUUAGGUAUAAAGCUUGUACAUAAAAUACCACUUCAUGCUACUACUUACCAACCUUGCUUUAAACUGCUUAGAACUGUUAAUUCAACUGCAUAAUUUAUAUGUUCUAUUAUGCCUUUCUAAUUCUUUUUUAAACUGUGUUUUAUUUCUAACCUGACAUCUUUUUCCAACAUUUAUGUCAAAAUUUGUCAAAAAAAUUAUGCUUUUCAAUUAUUUUGUUAAACCCUCAUGUAAAAACUUAUGAUGCAAUAAAAUGCUUUGAAAUACCAAAA
Frankliniella occidentalis (western flower thrips) is the source of this 901-nucleotide long non-coding RNA. RefSeq lists it as uncharacterized. Lineage: Eukaryota; Metazoa; Arthropoda; Insecta; Thysanoptera; Thripidae. The transcript is spliced from 2 exons. The record is from RefSeq and is a predicted model, not a curated record.